AGGGCUUAGUUUAAUUAAAGCGGUUGAGUUGCAUUCAAUUGAUGCAAGAUGGAGUCUUGUAGUCCUUA
RNAcentral lists this transfer RNA (68 nucleotides) under Sciurus aestuans (Guianan squirrel). Its description in RNAcentral is "Guerlinguetus aestuans (Guianan squirrel) tRNA-Ala". It matches the Rfam family "tRNA". From Rfam's summary of the family: Transfer RNA (tRNA) molecules are approximately 80 nucleotides in length. The record is from RNAcentral. Lineage: Eukaryota; Metazoa; Chordata; Mammalia; Rodentia; Sciuridae.